Molecule: ribosomal RNA, 252 nt
Filed under: uncultured bacterium
Lineage: Bacteria
Description: partial 16S ribosomal RNA
Rfam family: Bacterial small subunit ribosomal RNA
Source: RNAcentral
GACAGAGGGUGCAAACGUUGUUCGGAAUUACUGGGCGUAAAGCGCGUGUAGGCUGCCCUGCAGUCGGAUGUGAAAGCCCUGGGCUCAACCUAGGAAGUGCAUUCGAAACUGCGGGGCUGGAGUCCUGGAGAGGAAAGCGGAAUUCUCGGUGUAGAGGUGAAAUUCGUAGAUAUCGAGAGGAACACCGGUGGCGAAGGCGGCUUUCUGGACAGUGACUGACGCUGAGACGCGAAAGCGUGGGGAGCAAACAGG